This 468-nucleotide ribosomal RNA is filed under the name uncultured bacterium. RNAcentral describes it as "partial 16S ribosomal RNA". It matches the Rfam family "Bacterial small subunit ribosomal RNA", at positions 28 to 507 of the family's 1533-position model. The record is from RNAcentral.
GACGAACGCUGGCGGCGUGCUUAACACAUGCAAGUCGAACGGAAAGGCCCUGCUUUUGUGGGGUGCUCGAGUGGCGAACGGGUGAGUAACACGUGAGUAACCUGCCCUUGACUUUGGGAUAACUUCAGGAAACUGGGGCUAAUACCGGAUAGGAGCUCCUGCUGCAUGGUGGGGGUUGGAAAGUUUCGGCGGUUGGGGAUGGACUCGCGGCUUAUCGGCUUGUUGGUGGGGUAGUGGCUUACCAAGGCUUUGACGGGUAGCCGGCCUGAGAGGGUGACCGGCCACAUGGGGACUGAGAUACGGCCCAGACGGCUACGGGAGGCAGCAGUGGGGAAUAUUGCACAAUGGGCGGAAGCCUGAUGCAGCAACGCCGCGUGCGGGAUGACGGCCUUCGGGUUGUAAACCGCUUUCGCCUGUGACGAAGCGUGAGUGACGGUAAUGGGUAAAGAAGCACCGGCUAACUACGUG